UUAAAGAAUACUUCUUCUUUUUCUUCUUCUUCUUUUUUAAAUCUACAACGUUAUUAAGUGAUCUUAAGGGUGUUAACUGUUAUUUUGUGAAGAUAUAAAGCAGGCAACAGGUGCAAUAAGUCAAUUACGAGCUUACUUUACAGAAGAAAAUCGCCUUAAUUUUGUAGAAUCACAUAGUUUCUUUAGUUCUUUAGUGUUGUAAUUUUUAUGGUUUGGAGCCAAUGCCCGGUUUUACAGUAGCUUCAGGCUGUGAAGAAACUCCUUCAAGAAGAUUGGAUAAAAUGUGAUGGAUGCCAUGCUUGAUAGCAUGAAAAAUAUUUUGAAUUACGAAAGAGGACAAUUUAUUUGAGGAAAAUCGAUAUUUAAAGAAACCUUAAGGAGAGCCUUUCAAGAUUUAAAGGAGCCUUAAGAUAAGCCUUCCGAGAUUAAAAGAAGUAGUAAGGAUUCUUCUGGAAUUUAGACAAGGGAUCGUCCAUAAAUUACCUAAUGUUAUUUUUAAACUUUUCAAAUACCAUUCCACUUCCAUGUAACGCUCCGUAUGCUGUCGCAGACACCCACCCCAAAAUUACGUAAUGCAUAUCUUCAAUUCCCUUAAUUGCACUAAGGAAUUCUCUGACUUAUUCAUUGUAUUAUUUAUUAAUUUUGAA
Long non-coding RNA from Centruroides sculpturatus (bark scorpion), 647 nucleotides. RefSeq lists it as uncharacterized. The transcript is spliced from 3 exons. The record is from RefSeq and is a predicted model, not a curated record. Lineage: Eukaryota; Metazoa; Arthropoda; Arachnida; Scorpiones; Buthidae.